AAAUAUAUUAUUUUCUGUAUGCUUUGCGAUUGUUGCUUUGUUUCGCCACACAUUGCUAUACGAUUUUAGUUGUAAACUUAAUUUAAUGUUCUCAUAUAACUGAAUAUUGUAUUCUUUUUUUUUAAUUUUAUUUAAUACUUAUAAUGUAACAUCAAUUGU
Long non-coding RNA from Melitaea cinxia (Glanville fritillary), 159 nucleotides. RefSeq lists it as uncharacterized. The transcript is spliced from 3 exons. NCBI's taxonomy places the organism in Eukaryota, Metazoa, Arthropoda, Insecta, Lepidoptera, Nymphalidae. The record is from RefSeq and is a predicted model, not a curated record.